Molecule: non-coding RNA, 196 nt
Filed under: Planctomycetota bacterium
Lineage: Bacteria; Pseudomonadati; Planctomycetota
Description: Planctomycetes bacterium (activated sludge metagenome) 6S RNA
Rfam family: 6S / SsrS RNA
About the family: E. coli 6S RNA was the first non coding RNA to be sequenced, but its function was unknown until recently. It consists of 184 nucleotides that fold into an extended hairpin structure with a large single-stranded internal bulge.
Source: RNAcentral
UGCUUACUGCUGUGUUCGCCAGCCUGACGACAAAGUUUGCGGCGCCGAUGAACGUGCACGGGGAGGAAUCUCUCGCCCUGUCUAAAAUUCAAGCCCUCCCACUUCGUUGAGGGACGGGUUGGACAGGUCGGAACCCACCCACUUUGCUCAAGAGGGUGCACAAACAGUUCAGUGCAGCGGCACGAGUGGUUUGCUG